RNAcentral lists this ribosomal RNA (487 nucleotides) under uncultured bacterium. RNAcentral describes it as "bacterial SSU rRNA". It matches the Rfam family "Bacterial small subunit ribosomal RNA", at positions 29 to 505 of the family's 1533-position model. The record is from RNAcentral.
AUUGAACGCUGGCGGCAUGCCUAACACAUGCAAGUCGAACGGCAGCACAGCAGUAGCAAUACUGUGGGUGGCGAGUGGCGGACGGGUGAGGAAUACGUCGGAAUCUGCCCAGUCGUGGGGGAUAACUAGCCGAAAGGUUAGCUAAUACCGCAUACGACCGAGAGGUGAAAGCGGGGGACCGCAAGGCCUCGCGCGAUUGGAUGAGCCGACGUCGGAUUAGCUAGUUGGCGGGGUAAAGGCCCACCAAGGCGACGAUCCGUAGCUGGUCUGAGAGGAUGAUCAGCCACACUGGAACUGAGACACGGUCCAGACUCCUACGGGAGGCAGCAGUGGGGAAUAUUGGACAAUGGGCGCAAGCCUGAUCCAGCAAUGCCGCGUGUGUGAAGAAGGCCUUCGGGUUGUAAAGCACUUUUAUCAGGAACGAAAGACGUUGGAUUAAUACUCUGACGUGCUGACGGUACCUGAGGAAUAAGCACGGCUAACUUCG